Long non-coding RNA from Alosa sapidissima (American shad), 633 nucleotides. RefSeq lists it as uncharacterized. The record is from RefSeq and is a predicted model, not a curated record. NCBI's taxonomy places the organism in Eukaryota, Metazoa, Chordata, Actinopteri, Clupeiformes, Clupeidae. The transcript is spliced from 3 exons.
AUUAGGGUUAAAGGUUAGAAUUAGGGUUAGGGUUCAUGUGUCAUGACAGUGUCAUGUCACUCUUAUGUCGAUACUGUCAAGUGAAGUGUUACCGUCUUUUUCUAAUCACGUCAUUUGUACAUCUUUCUCCAGGGAAGGAUGAGGGAGAGUUUAUAGGGACUUAGAGGGAAAAAACAACCGCAGUGCUACGUGAAUCUGACUGUAUUUACACUAGGCUAUGUAAUUAUGCGAUAGUGUGUAUUAUUGAUGUUGGUCUACAGGAUAUACGUAAUUUUGCGAUAGUGCAUAUUAUUGAUGUUGGUCUUUAAAUGUCGCUCCUGCAAGGGGUUCUGGGACAGCAUUAUCUCUUGUCCUUCUGAGAAAGAUGGUCUGGUUCACCCUGUGCUAAAGCAGAUGGAAACCUGAUGUGAGAGGCAAAAAGCAGAGUGUCUCUCAGAUGGGUCUUUCUUCAGACGGAGACAGCACAACACACAAAACACCAAUCAGAAGAAAUAAUUGACAUACACCUACACACAUACAACUGUAAUAGAACACUCCCACAGGGACAAGAACCGUCGACGACUUGGAGGAAGACAGAGCGGAGACAUAAGCCUGCUCAGCUGAACCCCAGCAGCAGGUGAUCAAGCGUGGGGC